CGGCGAGUGNNGCGGCAACAGCUCAAAUUUGAAAUCUGGCGCAAGCCCGAGUUGUAAUUUGCAGAGGAUGUUUCUGGCGACGCGCCUUCCGAGUUCCCUGGAACGGGACGCCAUAGAGGGUGAGAGCCCCGUACGGUUGGAUGCCUAGCCUCUGUGAAACUCCUUCGACGAGUCGAGUAGUUUGGGAAUGCUGCUCUAAAUGGGAGGUAUACGUCUUCUAAAGCUAAAUACCGGCCAGAGACCGAUAGCGCACAAGUAGAGUGAUCGAAAGAUGAAAAGCACUUUGAAAAGAGGGUUAAAAAGUACGUGAAAUUGUUGAAAGGGAAGCGUUCAUGACCAGACUUGGGCAGGUUGAUCAUCCGUGGUUCUCCGCGGUGCACUCUGCCUGCCCAGGCCAGCAUCAGUUCGCCCCGGGGGAUAAAGGCUUUGGGAAUGUGGCUCCCUCGGGAGUGUUAUAGCCCACUGCGUAAUACCCUGGGGUGGACUGAGGNUNNCGCUCUGCAAGGAUGCUGGCGUAAUGGUCAUCAACGACCCGUCUU
Molecule: ribosomal RNA, 539 nt
Filed under: Gliocladium sp.
Lineage: Eukaryota; Fungi; Ascomycota; Sordariomycetes; Hypocreales
Description: partial 28S ribosomal RNA
Rfam family: Eukaryotic large subunit ribosomal RNA
Source: RNAcentral